RNAcentral lists this small RNA (132 nucleotides) under Escherichia coli. RNAcentral describes it as "RtT sRNA". It matches the Rfam family "RtT RNA". Rfam says of the family: This family represents a bacterial cis-regulatory element known as RtT RNA. The exact function of RtT is unknown although it is thought that it may be involved in changing the cellular response in relation to amino acid starvation. Lineage: Bacteria; Pseudomonadati; Pseudomonadota; Gammaproteobacteria; Enterobacterales; Enterobacteriaceae. The record is from RNAcentral.
AUUCUGCCCAUGCGGGGAAGGAUGAGAAGCUUCGACCAAGGUUCGACUCGAGCGCCAGCGAGAGAGCGUUGCCGCAGGCAACGACCCGAAGGGCGAAGCGCGCAGAGCUGAGUAAUCCUUCCCCCACCACCA